RNAcentral lists this ribosomal RNA (254 nucleotides) under uncultured bacterium. Its description in RNAcentral is "partial 16S ribosomal RNA". It matches the Rfam family "Bacterial small subunit ribosomal RNA", at positions 524 to 777 of the family's 1533-position model. The record is from RNAcentral.
UACAGAGGUCCCGAGCGUUGUUCGGAUUCACUGGGCGUAAAGGGUGCGUAGGCGGUCGGGUAAGUCUGAUGUGAAAUCUCACAGCUUAACUGUGAAACUGCAUUGGAUACUAUUCGGCUUGAGAGUUGGAGGGGGGACUGGAAUUCUCGGUGUAGCAGUGAAAUGCGUAGAUAUCGAGAGGAACACCUGCGGCGAAGGCGGGUUGCUGGGCUGACACUGACGCUGAUGCGCGAAAGCUAGGGGAGCGAACGGGG